Molecule: ribosomal RNA, 259 nt
Filed under: uncultured bacterium
Lineage: Bacteria
Description: partial 16S ribosomal RNA
Rfam family: Bacterial small subunit ribosomal RNA
Source: RNAcentral
CGAACGGGUGAGUAACGCGUGAGGAACCUGCCUCAAAGAGGGGGACGAACAGUUGGAAACGACUGCUAAUACCGCAUAAGCCCACGGGUCGGCAUCGACCAGAGGGAAAAGGAGCAAUCCGCUUUGAGAUGGUCUCGCGUCCGAUUAGCUAGUUGGUGAGGUAAUGGCCCACCAAGGCGACGAUCGGUAGCCGGACUGAGAGGUUGAACGGCCACAUUGGGACUGAGACACGGCCCAGACUCCUACGGGAGGCAGCAUG